ACUCCUACGGGAGGCAGCAGUAAGGAAUAUUGCGCAAUGGACGACAGUCUGACGCAGCGACGCCGCGUGGGGGAUGAAGGUCUUCGGAUUGUAAACCCCUUUCGGGUGGAAAGAUGGCUCUCGACAACGAGAGCGGACGGUACCACCAGAAGCAGCCACGGCCAACUUCGUGCCAGCAGCCGCGGUAAUACGAAGGUGGCAAGCGUUGUUCGGAUUCACUGGGCGUACAGGGUGUGUAGGCGGUUCGGUAAGCCCUCUGGGAAAGCUCCUGGCUCAACCGGGAAAGUUCAGGGGGGACUGCCGGGCUAGAGGACGGGAGA
RNAcentral lists this ribosomal RNA (320 nucleotides) under uncultured Nitrospira sp. Its description in RNAcentral is "bacterial SSU rRNA". It matches the Rfam family "Bacterial small subunit ribosomal RNA", at positions 335 to 655 of the family's 1533-position model. Lineage: Bacteria; Pseudomonadati; Nitrospirota; Nitrospiria; Nitrospirales; Nitrospiraceae. The record is from RNAcentral.